GUCCACGCCGUAAACGAUGGGCACUAGGCGUCGGGGGAGCGACCCUCCCGGUGCCGUCGCUAACGCAGUAAGUGCCCCGCCUGGGGAGUACGGCCGCAAGGCUGAAACUCAAAGGAAUUGACGGGGCCCGCACAAGCGGUGGAGCAUGUGGUUUAAUUCGAAGCAACGCGAAGAACCUUACCUGGGCUUGACAUGCUGGUGAAAGCCGGUGGAAACAUCGGUCCCUCUUCGGAGCACCAGCACAGGUGCUGCAUGGCUGUCGU
RNAcentral lists this ribosomal RNA (263 nucleotides) under uncultured bacterium. RNAcentral describes it as "partial 16S ribosomal RNA". It matches the Rfam family "Bacterial small subunit ribosomal RNA", at positions 793 to 1055 of the family's 1533-position model. The record is from RNAcentral.